GACUCCGUGGCUCGAGAGCGAACGUUAGCGGCAGGCUUAACACAUGCAAGUCGAGCGAGAAAGGGGCUUCGGCUCCGAGUAAAGCGGCGGACGGGUGCGUAACACGUGGAUAAUCUGCCUCGUGCGGGGGACAACAGUCCGAAAGGACUGCUAAUACCGCAUGUCAGGUCGGAAACUCCGGUUUCUGACGAAAAAGAGGGCGCCCGCAAGGGGCUCUCACCACGAGAUGAGUCCGCGUCCCAUCAGCUAGUUGGCGGUGUAAUAGACCACCAAGGCUUAGACGGGUAGCUGGUCUGAGAGGAUGACCAGCCACACUGGGACUGAGACACGGCCCAGACUCCUACGGGAGGCAGCAGUGGGGAAUAUUGGACAAUGGGCGAAAGCCUGAUCCAGCCAUGCCGCGUGAGUGAUGAAGGCCUUCGGGUCGUAAAGCUCUGUGGGGAGGGACGAAAAAGCGUGACCUAAUACGUCUCGCCUUGACGGUACCUCCUUAGCAAGCAC
RNAcentral lists this ribosomal RNA (501 nucleotides) under uncultured bacterium. Its description in RNAcentral is "bacterial SSU rRNA". It matches the Rfam family "Bacterial small subunit ribosomal RNA", at positions 26 to 493 of the family's 1533-position model. The record is from RNAcentral.